This 461-nucleotide ribosomal RNA is filed under the name Nemertellina yamaokai. RNAcentral describes it as "partial 16S ribosomal RNA". It matches the Rfam family "Bacterial large subunit ribosomal RNA", at positions 1888 to 2597 of the family's 2925-position model. Lineage: Eukaryota; Metazoa; Nemertea; Enopla; Monostilifera; Tetrastemmatidae. The record is from RNAcentral.
AGUUUUUAGAGUUUUUAUUAUAAAUAGUUUCUGCUCAAUGUUUUUAAAUAGCUGCGGUAAUUUGACCGUACAAAGGUAGCAUAAUCAUUUGUCUUUUAAUUAGAGACUAGUAUGAAUGGUAAAACAAAAAUUUUUUUGUCUUUAUUUUUUUAAAGAACUUGUAUUUAUUGUGAAGAUACAUUAAUGUAAAAAAAAGACAAGAAGACCCUUUGAGCUUUACUUUAUAUAAUUUUUUUUUAGUUUAAUUGGGGUGAUUAAAGAAGAAAGAUUUAUUGAAAAGCUUCUUUUGUUUUUUAGUGAACCAUUUUUAAUGGGUUUUAGAAUAAGUUACCAAAGGGAUAACAGCGUAAUUUUUUUUAAAAGUUCUUAUUUAAAAAAAAGAUUGCGACCUCGAUGUUGACUUAUAGUUUCCUUUUAAUGUAGGUGUUAGAAAGGUGGGUCUGUUCGACCUUUAAAACUUU